This 1254-nucleotide long non-coding RNA is filed under the name Notechis scutatus (mainland tiger snake). RNAcentral describes it as "lncRNA (ENSNSUG00000003036.1)". The record is from RNAcentral. Lineage: Eukaryota; Metazoa; Chordata; Lepidosauria; Squamata; Elapidae.
AUGGGACCGAGCAAUUUGGAAAUGGUGUCAGGUGCCAAGGGAUCCAGGAAGUGAUAGUUGGAGCAGUUCAGAGAGUGCUGCUGCAGGGAGAGUCGCUGAAGAUUGUUCUCUUGUGAAGGACCAUGUGGAAUCCCAAUGCAGGGCAGCCAGGUGCCUUCUCUGGAGCAGCACAUCCCCCCAACCCUUCUUACCCAGGUGGCUUCAAUCCUGCAUACCCACCUCCUGUGAACCCUGCAUUCCCUCCAGGCUCUAUGCCUGUUGGCCCCUGUCCUGUUCCCCCAGUAGGGAUCCCAGGGCAACCUGCCUAUCCCUCAGGCCAUCCCAUUCAGCCCCCAUAUCCUGGUCAUCAGCCUAUCCUGCCUGGUGGUCCUUUGCCCCCACCUGUCCCUGGGAUGCCAGGAGGAAUAGGAUUCAAUCCUUUGGUGCCCGGGGCUGCUGUGGGCACCUGCGUGAUGGACAAGAAAGCUGCUAAAAAGAUGAAGAAGAAGAUGAAGAAGGCACACAAGAUGCAUAAACCACACAAACACCAUGGAAAGCAUUCCUCCUCCUCUUCAUCCUCUUCCAGCAGCAGUGACUGACUGAUGUGUCUCCCUACUUUCCGGCUGCAUCCGUUUCCACCAUGGCUGAUCCUUGCACUGUUCUUCCUGCAUUCAUAGAAAAUUAACUAGAUUGGUUACUACCCCAAUAGAUAAAAAUGACAUCUGCUUGCUUUUUGUCUGCCCUCCAAGAUGGCCAGGCAUCAAGCUUAUCCAUAGGACUGGUGCUGCUGAUUAACCAGCCUACUGUGAUCGACUGUUUGGUGGGAGGGCGACACCAUUAUUGGGCUCCAAAGCAGUACAUCUGCAGCUGUUGGCGAUUGUGAUUACAUUUCUGCAGCCAAUCAAAUACUGUCCUGGCGCUCCAAAUGUUUUAUUGGGAACCAAUCAAACGAUUAUUUUGAGGUUGGUUGGGAGGUCCAAAACUACCUAAGUGCUUUUAAAAAUUAUCAAUCAUUCACCAAAGUAGUUCUUUGAAUGUUCAUGUAGUCGUGCCUGAGAAAAGGACAAAACAGGGGAGAUUGCUCAAUAUUAUAACUGCAUUUGGAAAUUGUUGCUUAUUUAAUAUAAACUAGAAUAAUCCACUUUUAAAAGAUCACAAAAUGUGCUGAAUCAGGGAUAAUGGCAUAACUGUAUGCAUGCAGAAAUUUAUUGUGAGAUUCCCUUCUCUCUGUCACUCAGAAAUAAACAUACAUUCAUGUAUUUAUGGUAUAUUUUA